This is a non-coding RNA of Chrysemys picta bellii (western painted turtle), 1397 nucleotides long. The record is from RefSeq and is a predicted model, not a curated record. Lineage: Eukaryota; Metazoa; Chordata; Testudines; Emydidae.
GAGGCGACCACUCCCGGGGAGGCGGGUGGGAUGAUCAUGAGAGGUGGUUGGUUGCAGCGAAGCCGGGCGUCAUGGCUGAGAGCAGCAGUGCUCUGUGCUGGUGACCCCCAGGAGGUGGCUGGGUAGUGGUAAUGCCUGUGUAGCUAGCUAGUUCCAAUCUAAUUUAACACAAUGUCCCAACAACGAGUCCUGCCUCAGAGUAAAGAAACCCUCCUACAGUCCUACAACAAGAGGCUGAAAGAUGACAUCAAGUCAAUCAUGGAUAACUUCACAGAGAUCAUCAAGACUGCUAAGAUUGAAGAUGAAACCCAAGUCUCUCGAGCGACCCAGAGUGAGCAGGACAACUACGAGAUGCACGUCAGAGCUGCCAACAUCGCCGAGAGAUAGGAAACAAUUGAUGGUGAGUUGCGUGAAUCGGAAAGUUUCGUCGAACGUUGAAGCUUUGAGAAGGCAAUCGUCGAGGUAAGGAAAUAUUAUGACCCCUUGUUUCCUGAGGUAGGCAGUGACUAUGGCUAGGAGCUUGGAAAAAAACACGGGGGGCAGUGGAAAGACCGAAGGGUAGAACCCUGUAUUGAAAAUGUGUUGAGCCAAGGGUAAAACGAAGGAAUCGUCUGUGGGCUGCAUGUAUAGUCACAUGAAAAUAGGCGUCCUGUAGGUCGAGGACUGAAAACCAAUCGCCCUGCUCCAGCGCUGGAAUUAUGGUGGUGAGAGUAACCAUCUUGAACUUUUGCUUUUUCAUAAAUUUGUUGAGCUGCCUGAAGUCGAGGAUCGGUCGCCAUCCCCCAGUUUUCUUUUCUGUUAAGAAAUAAUGGGAAUAAAAGCCCUUCCCUCUGUGUCGUUCGGGCACAAGUUCCACUGCUCCGAACUGAAGGAGAUGUUGUACUUCUUGGAAGAGCAGUGGCUCGUGAGAGGGGUCCCUGAAGAGGGACGGGGAGGGUGGGAAUAGAGUAGCCAAUUGUGACGACCUCUAUAACCCACUUGUCGGUGGUAAUGCUCUGCCAUUGAUGGGAGAAUGGUCGUAGGCAGUGUCCAAAAAUAGGUACAAAUCUGCUUAUUAGUUGGAGGGGGUUGAGGUGUUACCGAAGAAUCGGGACGACUACGCUUGCCCUUGAGUCCUUCAUUGAAUGAAGUACGUCGUUCGUGGUGGAAGCAAAGGGUUUGUCACCGUCAAAGGGAAGAUCUUCAAUGGUACUCUGGACUCUUGAGGAAAGGAAGAGGAUGAGAGCCAUGAACCUUGGCGCAUGACCACUGCUGCGGUGGUGGAUCUUGCUGCAGUAUUGGCUGCAUUGAGGGCCGCUUGAAGAGCGGUACGUGGUAUGAUUGGUCCCUCAGAAACUAAAGCUGUGAAUUGUUGCUUCUUUUCUUCUGGAAUGUCAUCAAUAAAGUCCAUGAAUGUG